This is a long non-coding RNA of Ursus americanus (American black bear), 2893 nucleotides long. The record is from Ensembl. Lineage: Eukaryota; Metazoa; Chordata; Mammalia; Carnivora; Ursidae.
GCCGUGUGGGUGGACGGGGCUGUGGGGGAGCCCCAGGUCGUGGGGCCCGUCGGGUCAGUGUGGGUGACUGGCACCGGGGGGCAGGACGAGGAGGGGGCGCUUCAUCAGAGUCCCCGGGGCGGUGAGCGGAAAGGCCUCCCGGGCUCCACGGGGCACGAGAGCAUUCUGGAACUGUGGCUGAAGGUGCAGGCUAUGAGGGCAGCCUCGGGCUGUGGGGAAGGAAGCACGGUGGAGCUCCACCCGGUACCUGCAGGGGAGGGCCCGGUUGAAAGGGGUGUCCCCGGCCGGGCUUCCUGGGUAGAGACCGGCCGGGCUGGCCUCACGGGACCCUGGGUGAAAGGACAGGCCAGGGCAGGGCCCCGGACCCCAGGAGGAUCUGCAGCUGUGGGGCUCGGGGCAGCUUGUGGGACGGCCUCUGGCUUGUGUGGGCAGGGACAGACCCAGGACCUGCUUCCUGGGGGUGUGCCUGCAACCCUGGGGACAAGUUCUGAGAUUAUCCCGUACCUGCUGGGGAGAGGACAGGCUGUGGGGGUACCUAGAGCCAUGGGCUGGCCUGAGGCUGUGCAGAGAGAGAUGGGCUGUGGGGCUGCUCCAGGUUUGUGGGACAGGGGGCAGCCGGUGCAGGUGCCAGGGGUGCCGGCUCGAGAGGUGGUCUGUGGGGACAUCCCCGGCCUGUGGGGAAGGGGACAGGUUGGGAGGAUGCGCGAUGCUGUGGGGGCACCUAGAGGCGUGGAGGAAGAAGCAACCUCUGUGGGUGCCCUGGGCAUGUGGCGGAGGAGGCAGGCUGUGGAGGGGAUGGGCUCUGGGGGUGUUCCUGGCGUGUGGGGUGCUGGACAGCCUGUUGGGGUGCCUUGUGCUUUUGAAGAGAAAGCCAGAUGUGGGGGUGACCCAGGAUUCAGGGAGAGGGGACAGGGCAUGUGGGUAGAGACUGGGUCUGGAGGUGACCCGGGGUCAUGGGCAGCCGCACAGACGGUAGAGCUAAGUGGCCGUGAUGAGCCGGAGGGAGGCCCUGGGGGUGCUCCAGGCCUGUGGGGUAUAGGGCCAGGAAUGGGAGUACCUUCGGCUUUGGGGAAGGAGACAGGCUGUGGGAGUGUCCCGGGUCCGUGGGGGACUGAGCAGCUGGUGGGGGUGUCCCAGGCUGUGGUAGUGCCACCUGGAGCCCAGGGAGAACAGGUGAGCUAUGGAGGUAUCCCCAGCCUGUGGGAGAGGCAGCAGGCUCUGGGGGUGCCUCUGUCCGAUGCGGUGCCAGGGCUUGCUGGGCAGGACACAAGCUGCGGGAGUGCCAUGAGCCUGUGGGAGAGGAGGCCCGCUCUGGAGGAGCAAGAGGCCCUGGUGCCAACAGUUUUAGGGGUGCCUGGGCCUGUGGAUCAGGAGGCUGGAUGUGGUGACGUGUCCUGUCUGUGCAGGAGGAGACAGGCUGUGGGGUGGCCUGACCCGGAGGGGAUGCCCGAGGCCGCUGUUUUGCCCAAGCACAGGUGUGCCCCAGCAGGGGUCCCCCCAGAGGUGGGUAUGCCAGGGCCUGGAAGGGUCCCUGCCAGGGUGCCUGCCGCGGUGUGGGUAUCUGGCCCUGCGUGUCAGGAAGGCAGCUCCAGAGAUGUCUUGGACCUGUGGGAAAGGGCUCGUAGCGCCACGCUCCCCGUGGCUCCUGAGGAGCUGUGGUCUGUGUGUGAGGACACUGGGUCUGCAGCUUUCCCCGGAUUGUGGGGAAGGAGACAGGCGGUCAGGGUUCCCGAAGCACCUGGGUUUGUCGGGGAGGAGACAGGCCCCGGCGGUGUCCCCAGAUCUUGGGGAAGGAGACAGAGUGCCAGGGCUCCUGGGGCUGCUGAGGUGCCCACGGCUGCCAGGGUGCCUGGUCCUCUGGGGAUGGAGGCCAGCUCUGGGGGUUUCUCAGGCUUGUCAGGAAGGAGACAGACAGCUGGGGUGUCCACAGCUGGCGGGGUGCCUGUGGCCCCCAGGACACCUAGGCCUGUCUGGGAGGAGUUGGCUCCGGGAGGUGUUGCAGGCCCAUGGGGGCAGAGGGAGACAGCGCCAGGACCUGCAGACUCCUGGGCUCCCACAAGGGUGGGGGUGCCCAGCACUGCCAGGAUGCCUAUGCCCGUGGGGGAAAGGCUGGGCCCUGGGGACCCCUCAGGCUUGUUGGGAGGGAGGUGGACUGCUGAGAUGCUCGCGGCUGCGGGCGCUUCCGUGGCUGCAGGGGUCCCUGGGCCGAUGAUGGCUGAUGCCGGCUCUGGGGAUGCUCCAGGUGUGUGGGGGCAGAGACCAGUGAUGGAUCUGCCCGCUGCUGCCGGGGCUGCAGGACCUGCCCACGGGGCGACUGGCUCCGACAGUGUCUCUGGUCUGUGGAGAAGAAGACCCAGUGGACCGGCCGCUGAGUCUGUGCGGGUGCCUGUAUCUUUGGGGGUGCUUGCGGCUGUAGGGGUUCCUGCGACGGGGCGCGCGCCUGCUGCGGUGUGGGUGACAGGGUGUAUGGGAGAAGAAAUGGCUACAGCUGCCUCGGGUCUCCCAGCAUUGAGGAGACAGUCCGUGGAGGGAGCUGGGGCUUUGGGCGGGGCGGAGGCAGGAGGCUGCAGUCUGGAGCUGACUGGGGGAAGCCAAGCGGCAGGGGUCCCUCACAUCCAUGGCUGUGGGACCAGGUCAUGGAGCUGCCCCCGGCCUGGUGCGGGAGAGGCCGACCAUGAGAGCAUGUGCGCCGUGUCAUGGACCAGAACCGCCGUGGGGGCGCCUGACGCUGUGGGGGUGCCCNNNNNNNNNNNNNNNNNNNNNNNNNNNNNNNNNNNNNNNNNNNGGGUGCCCCAGGUUUCAAGGCUGGAAACUGGCGUUGGCUGUUUCAGGGAUCACCUGCAGCAGAGUGGGGGGGGACAGGCCUCAGGAGCGUCUGGAGCUAGGGUGAGGG